This 77-nucleotide transfer RNA is filed under the name Actinomycetes bacterium. Its description in RNAcentral is "Actinobacteria bacterium tRNA-Leu". It matches the Rfam family "tRNA". From Rfam's summary of the family: Transfer RNA (tRNA) molecules are approximately 80 nucleotides in length. Their secondary structure includes four short double-helical elements and three loops (D, anti-codon, and T loops). The record is from RNAcentral. Lineage: Bacteria; Bacillati; Actinomycetota; Actinomycetes.
GUCCCCAUAGCCCAAUCGGUAGAGGCAACCGACUUAAAAUCGGUUCAGUGUCGGUUCGAGUCCGACUGGGGAUACUA